GCACGGAGACAAAGAAACCGAAAGCAAUUUAACGGGUACCGCCUUUCGGUGAUAAGUCCCUCAACAUUGUUGUUACUUCCUUAUUGCAGACAGCACAGACGGGGGAUUUUUGUUUCUGGAUGUACCUGUUUUUUAAACAUCUGCAGUCAUCAGUUUUCUUUAGUUUCUAGCGUUAAGAGCCCUGAUAUCACUGUUCCCCGGCUGGUUUCGAAGUUCCAUAAAUAAUUAGGUCGCUGACAUUACUGGGACAGUAAAAAAAGCCACCGACUUACGAGACUCAUCGCUAAAAACGGAUUCACAUCAGAAGUCCACCAUGAUACAUGGCAAGUCCAGUUUGAAACGGGGUGGAAGAAAGGAGCAAAUAUUUACUCCAGAUCAGCAAGUUCGAGCAGACCUCAUACUGAAGCUGCGCAGAAUUGGAGAUGCUUUGGACUGGAAGCAAAAGAUAUUAAAUAUUAUUUAUAAGCUGAUGUCGCCUGGGACUUGAGCAUAGAGUAGUAUGAAUAUUUUUGGGGAAGAAAAACAGAAAUAAAAAAAAGGUUACUAUGUCUUCUACUCAGAUUCUGCUUCUAAAAAGGAGAAAAAAAAAGAAACUGCACUGGUUGGUAACAUGAAGAAGAAUGUUAGCUGAGAAAAGAGACCUGUAUGUGGUCAUAAAGUAACAGAGAUGUAUGACUUACUGCCAGUCCCCUGCUGUGAAACAAAGACGUCAGAAAACGGGUGAUCCACUAUGGAAAACAUAAACAACUUCAGCUCUUUAACAUAUGGGCUGAAUGGUUAGUCUGUUAACUGCACUCCCAGAUUAGUGUCAUUGGCUUCCUGGUACAGCCUAUGCUGAGCUGAAUUCUGUUUCUUCAUCCCUCUAGGUUUAGCAAUCUGUGUUAUGAUAACUGCAGUACUUUGUAACGUGGACUGUUACAAUAAUCACUGUAUAAGUUAAGUAUUUGUUUAUUUAAUGUUAAACACAUGCUUUGAUAUUUGCAGUGGCAAUGUAAUUACAGUUAGUCUUUGCUUAGUUGCGGUUGUUUAACAGACUAAGUGACUUCCUAGGCCAGAAACUGCCACUGACUACCAAAUGAAUGAUAACUUUGUACUGUAUUUAUCGAACCAUGGUAGUGCUAAAGAGGUUACUUCAGCUCUGGAUUGGAACCAGCAGGCGGUCUUAGGUCAGCAACAAUUUCUCUGAAAAAGAUGUUAACUCUAUAAAUGUAGUAACAUGGCUGGUAAUAUGAUACAAGCAAGCAUAUUCGUAAUAAAUUUGUGAAAAGAUGCACAUUGACUGUUAACUUAGAUAAAAGUUGUUAUUUUGUUUUUAAAAAUGGUCUUCUUCAGGGUCAAUGAUAGUUUGUUAAAUAACAGUUUUGGCCCUGAAAGCAUGGUAACAUGGUUGUUACUCUGCUUUUGUAAUACUUAUGUCAGAUAAUGUAAUGGACAUACUAUUUAUACAUUUGUGAAGAUGUACUUGUUGACAAAUAACUCAAAACAAAUGUUUUUUUUCCAUUGAAAA
Molecule: long non-coding RNA, 1507 nt
Organism: Protopterus annectens (West African lungfish)
Lineage: Eukaryota; Metazoa; Chordata; Ceratodontiformes; Protopteridae
Exons: 2
Source: RefSeq, a predicted model, not a curated record